RNAcentral lists this ribosomal RNA (468 nucleotides) under uncultured bacterium. RNAcentral describes it as "partial 16S ribosomal RNA". It matches the Rfam family "Bacterial small subunit ribosomal RNA", at positions 28 to 507 of the family's 1533-position model. The record is from RNAcentral.
GACGAACGCUGGCGGCGUGCUUAACACAUGCAAGUCGAACGGAAAGGCCCUGCUUUUGUGGGGUGCUCGAGUGGCGAACGGGUGAGUAACACGUGAGUAACCUGCCCUUGCCUUUGGGAUAACUUCAGGAAACUGGGGCUAAUACCGGAUAGGAGCUCCUGCUGCAUGGUGGGGGUUGGAAAGUUUCGGCGGUUGGGGAUGGACUCGCGGCUUAUCAGCUUGUGGGCGGGGUAGUUGCUUACGAAGGCUUGGACGGGUAGCCGGCCUGAGAGGGUGAGCGGCCACAUUGGGACUGAGAUAGGGCGCAGACUCCUACGGGAGGCAGCAGUGGGGAAUAGUGUGCAAUGGGCGGAAGCCUGAUGCAGCAACGCCGCGUGCGGGAUGACGGCCUUCGGGUUGUAAACAGCUUUCGCCUGUGACGAAGCGGGAGUGACGGUAAUGGGUAAAGAAGCACCGGCUAACUACGUG